Molecule: long non-coding RNA, 1070 nt
Filed under: Homo sapiens (human)
Lineage: Eukaryota; Metazoa; Chordata; Mammalia; Primates; Hominidae
Description: HSALNT0101306
Source: RNAcentral
AGCUCAUCACCAAGCUCGCCUCCUCCGCGGCGCGGGGUCGGCUGGGAGAUGGAGUGCAGAGCCUGGUGGAGUCGGGACGGCGUUGUCUCGCAGGGACUACAACUCCCAGAAUGCACCGCCACUCGGGCUUCGCUGCUUUCAUUCUCGGGCGGCUCUGCCUUUGGUCUUGCUCAAGUCGCCUCAGUCGGACGACCGUGGGCUGGCCUUCUCCAAAGCCGCGGAUCUGGCUGCCCGUCCUGCUGAGGCGCCAGUGAGAUUUCAACCAUUACUCCGUAUACAAAGUCGUUUUGUUUCUAGCCGUAAUCGAUGAAGUACGGCGAGAGAGGAAAGAGGAGGCGGCUGCCUGAAAAACUGGUUGCUCGUGCACCUAGCCCUGUUGCCGGGGGCGAAGGUUGGCUAUUUGGGACUUGGAGGAAGAACUCAGGUCCCUGCCGCAGACGCGGGUCAGGACACGAAAUCUCAUUUUCCCCCUGCAACAGAUGUUAUGUUCUAUCUUUUCGUAAGUAAAGCAUUUCAGAAAUGGCCCGCGGGUGACUUAAGGACAGCUGCACUGCCCUCAAAUCACCUGCCUGAGUUGUAAGUUAGACCCAGCUGCCUCCUUGAGACCAAGCUUGGAGAUUUUGCCGCACUGGCUUACACCUCUACGAAACAAGACACUGUAGUAAUCUCAACUACUGUAUCUCCACCCAAAAUUGAAACUCCCCACUUCCGCCAGAUUACAUUCAUUUGUUAAAGAGGUGCCCCCAGAAGAAUAGAGGGUAAAUGUGUCCCUCUUUUAGAAGGAAUCAGAGCCUUCGAGUUUUCCUGUGAUUCUUUUGCUCCCUGAGAUACCUUUUUACUCUUCUAAAAAUUACAGUUUCCUGUCUUCUGUCUCCAAAAACAAACACAAAAGUUCUAAGCAGCAAUCCCUUGAUUUAAUAAAUGUAUCCUGCCAUACCCAGCUGCCCUACUAUGUGAACUGUAUUCCCUAAGAAGCAACAUUAGGAACAAAUACCAUGUAUAAAAAUACAUUAAAGGAUAAUUACUUGCUUUGCAACAGAUUUAAUAUAGAUUCCUGUGAAGAGAAUGAA